Molecule: ribosomal RNA, 541 nt
Filed under: uncultured bacterium
Lineage: Bacteria
Description: partial 16S ribosomal RNA
Rfam family: Bacterial small subunit ribosomal RNA
Source: RNAcentral
UGGGGAAUUUUGGACAAUGGGGGCAACCCUGAUCCAGCCAUCCCGCGUGUGCGAUGAAGGCCUUCGGGUUGUAAAGCACUUUUGGCAGGGAAGAAACAGCCUGGGAUAAUACCCCGGGCGACUGACGGUACCUGCAGAAUAAGCACCGGCUAACUACGUGCCAGCAGCCGCGGUAAAUACGUAGGGUGCAAGCGUUAAUCGGAAUUACUGGGCGUAAAGCGUGCGCAGGCGGUUCGGAAAGAAAGGUGUGAAAUCCCAGGGCUUAACCUUGGAACUGCACUUUUAACUACCGAGCUAGAGUACGUCAGAGGGGGGUAGAAUUCCACGUGCAGCAGUGAAAUGCGUAGAGAUGUGGAGGAAUACCGAUGGCGAAGGCAGCCCCCUGGGAUGAUACUGACGCUCAUGCACGAAAGCGUGGGGAGCAAACAGGAUUAGAUACCCUGGUAGUCCACGCCCUAAACGAUGUCAACUAGCUGUUGGGGUUUAUUAACCUUAGUAGCGCAGCUAACGCGUGAAGUUGACCGCCUGGGGAGUACGGUCG